GUAAACCCAAGGUUUCCAGGGGAAGGUUCGUCCGCCCUGGGUUAGUCGGGACCUAAGCUGAGGCCGAAAGGCGUAGGUGAUGGACAACAGGUUGAUAUUCCUGUACUACCGAUAACCGUUUGAGAGAUGGGAUGACACAGUAGGAUAAGCUAAGCACACUGUUGGUUAUGUGUGCCCAAGCAUUGAGGCAGUCAAAGUAGGCAAAUCCGCUUUGAUAAUGCUGGGAUGUGAUGGGGAGCGAAAUUUAGUAGCGAAGUAGCUGAUUUCACACUGUCAAGAAAAGUCUCUAUCGAGGUUAAAGGUACCCGUACCGCAAACCGACACAGGUGGGUGAGGAGAGUAUCCUAAGGCCAGCGAGAGAACUGUUGUUAAGGAACUCGGCAAAAUGACCCCGUAACUUAGGGAUAAGGGGUGCCACCAUCAGGUGGCCGCAGAGAAUAGGCCCAAGCGACUGUUUACCAAAAACAUAGGUUUCUGCUAAGUCGCAAGACGAUGUAUAGGAGCUGACGCCUGCCCGGUGCUGGAAGGUUAAGGGGAUCUGUUAGAG
This 547-nucleotide ribosomal RNA is filed under the name Clostridioides difficile. RNAcentral's name for it is "partial 23S ribosomal RNA". It matches the Rfam family "Bacterial large subunit ribosomal RNA", at positions 1339 to 1895 of the family's 2925-position model. The record is from RNAcentral. Lineage: Bacteria; Bacillati; Bacillota; Clostridia; Peptostreptococcales; Peptostreptococcaceae.